CCUACGGGUGGCAGCAGUGAGGAAUAUUGGUCAAUGGCCGGAAGGCUGAACCAGCCAAGCCGCGUGAAGGACGAAGGUGCCAAGCAUUGUAAACUUCUUUUGUCAAGGGACAAAAUCAGGCUCGAGAGCCUGACCGAGGGUACUUGAAGAAAAAGCAUCGGCUAACUCCGUGCCAGCAGCCGCGGUAAUACGGAGGAUGCGAGCGUUAUCCGGAUUUAUUGGGUUUAAAGGGUGCGUAGGGGGACUGUUAAGUCAGCGGGAAAAGCCCGGGGCUCAACCCCGGCCUGCCGUCGGAACUGGGUGCCGUGAGUAGGCGAGAGGUAUGCGGAAUGCGUGGUGUAGCGGUGAAAUGCAUAGAUAUCACGCAGAACCCCGAUUGCGAAGGCAGCAUACCGGCGCCCUACUGACGCUGAGGCACGAAAGUGCGGGUAUCGAACAGGAUUAGAUACCCUAGUAGUC
RNAcentral lists this ribosomal RNA (459 nucleotides) under uncultured bacterium. RNAcentral's name for it is "partial 16S ribosomal RNA". It matches the Rfam family "Bacterial small subunit ribosomal RNA", at positions 338 to 795 of the family's 1533-position model. The record is from RNAcentral.